GUUUAAGUUAGUGGGCAGGUAGAAAAAUCCGCUGGUACUGUAAUAGAGGGUAAUGUCACUUUAAGACAUGUGAUACUUUACCGAGCAGGGAUGUAUCGAAACAGACUACUGAUACUUCAGGGCACCGUCUAGCAGCAGUCCAGCUCUCUCGGAACAGAGCGAGUUGCCUGAUUGCACUGAAGGCAGGGGAACAGGGAUGGUCCCUCAUUAAGACGAAACUGAUUUUCAUCUGCAAGUACCCCGGGAACUAUACAUUACCUCAAGAUCCCUCCAAAGGGCUCAUCGCACAGAGGGACCACUAGCAGAUGAUUUAAAGGUGAAGAUGACAAGGUUUCCACCCCUCAAACCUUGGCUACUUUUCUGACAACGCGAUCUGAGCUCUGAUGUCUUCUUUAUUCUGGAAAUAGGAUUGAUAACAAGAAAAAGAAAGAAAGAAAUCGCUCUCCUUUUUUAAUCCCGAUAAAGAAGAUUAUUGAAAACCUCUGAUUGUGGUCCCUACACAUGGAUUUUAAAAAGUGUUAGAUCUUUCCAAUGAACACUAAUAGAGCAUUCUGCUCCUGGUUGGAUUACUCAGAGUAUGGCUAUGGUCUCUGCAAUGUCCUGGGUCCUGUAUUUGUGGAUAAGUGCUUGUGCAAUGCUCCUCUGUCAGGGAUCUCUUCAUCACACUUUCCAACAGCAUCACCUGCACAGACCAGGCAGCUUCCCCCAGUCCUCCAUGAGUAAGAUUGAUGGUGUUCUGGUCCUGAGCAGCCAAUUUCAGUCUCUCAAGAAAUAAUCCACUACAUUGACAGAUGAGUGGAAUUUGACGGCAUGUUCACCUCAUUCAGAUUGCUCCGCACCUGGAUGGCACCAGUGCGGGAGGCUCCUUUAGGGGAAACUAUUAGGUAUUUUGGACAAUUUCUACUGUCUUACCAUGAAAUCAAGACAAUAUGGUUAUAUGUAUCUUUAUGUAUAUAUUUAUGAACAUAAUAAUAAUUACAUAUUCAAAUCUAUACAUCCAUACACGAAUUUGCUAGCUGUCUCCUCCAUGGAAUGGGUUCGUACACAAAAGGAAGGAAAAUACGUUAACUAGAGAACUGACUGAUUUUAAUGUAUUCGGCUGCAGUCUCUAAGUACUUUCUAUUUUUCAUAUUUAUGUUAUUAGGAAUGCGCCAUUUACUUCCAGUUACUCACUGUUUAAGGGAGAUU
Molecule: long non-coding RNA, 1188 nt
Filed under: Monodelphis domestica (gray short-tailed opossum)
Lineage: Eukaryota; Metazoa; Chordata; Mammalia; Didelphimorphia; Didelphidae
Description: lncRNA (ENSMODG00000042178.1)
Source: RNAcentral